CGGCGGACGGGUGAGUAACGCGUGGGUAACCUGCCUCAUACAGGGGGAUAACAGUUGGAAACGGCUGCUAAUACCGCAUAAGCGCACAGUACCGCAUGGUACGGUGUGAAAAACUCCGGUGGUAUAAGAUGGACCCGCGUUGGAUUAGCUUGUUGGUGGGGUAACGGCCCACCAAGGCGACGAUCCAUAGCCGGCCUGAGAGGGUGAACGGCCACAUUGGGACUGAGACACGGCCCAG
RNAcentral lists this ribosomal RNA (238 nucleotides) under uncultured bacterium. RNAcentral's name for it is "partial 16S ribosomal RNA". It matches the Rfam family "Bacterial small subunit ribosomal RNA", at positions 96 to 334 of the family's 1533-position model. The record is from RNAcentral.